Molecule: non-coding RNA, 151 nt
Organism: Amphimedon queenslandica
Lineage: Eukaryota; Metazoa; Porifera; Demospongiae; Haplosclerida; Niphatidae
Source: Rfam
UAACAGGCUGAGCAUGUACUCAAGUGUUCAUAGCGAUGUUGCUUUUUGAUCCUUCGAUGUCGGCUCUUCCUAUCAUUGCGAAGCAGAAUUUGCCAAGCGUUGGAUUGUUCACCCACUAAUACAAGAAACUAAGUCUUCAAAGUAAUAAUUU